AACGAACGCUAGCGGUGUGGAUUAGGCAUGCAAGUCGCGCGCGAAAGCCUUCGGGCGAGUAAAGCGGCGAAAGGGUGAGUAACACGUAACCAACGUACCCCUCAGACUGGGAUAACCACUGGAAACGGUGGAUAAUACCGGAUGGUCCACUGGGCAGCAUUGCCUGGCUGGUAAACGGCGGCCGCAAGGCGGUUGCUGAGGGAGCGGGUUGCGGCCUAUCAGCUUGUUGGUGAGGUAACGGCUCACCAAGGCUAUGACGGGUAACAGGUCUGAGAGGAUGAUCUGUCACACUGGGACUGAGACACUGCCCAGACUCCUACGGGAGGCUGCAGUCGAGAAUCUUCCACAAUGGGCGAAAGCCUGAUGGAGCGACACCGCGUGCAGGAUGAAGGCC
Molecule: ribosomal RNA, 394 nt
Filed under: uncultured bacterium
Lineage: Bacteria
Description: bacterial SSU rRNA
Rfam family: Bacterial small subunit ribosomal RNA
Source: RNAcentral